Molecule: ribosomal RNA, 253 nt
Filed under: uncultured bacterium
Lineage: Bacteria
Description: partial 16S ribosomal RNA
Rfam family: Bacterial small subunit ribosomal RNA
Source: RNAcentral
UACGGGGGGGGCAAGCGUUGUUCGGAAUUACUGGGCGUAAAGGGCUCGUAGGCGGCCAACUAAGUCGGGUGUGAAAUCCCCGGGCUCAACCUGGGAAUUGCAUUCGAUACUGGAUAGCUAGAGUUCGGCAGGGGAGACUGGAAUUCCUGGUGUAGCGGUGAAAUGCGCAGAUAUCAGGAGGAACACCGGUGGCGAAGGCGGGUCUCUGGGCCGAUACUGACGCUGAGGAGCGCAAGCGUGGGGAGCGAACAGG